RNAcentral lists this unclassified non-coding RNA (228 nucleotides) under Hevea brasiliensis (rubber tree). Lineage: Eukaryota; Viridiplantae; Streptophyta; Magnoliopsida; Malpighiales; Euphorbiaceae. The record is from RNAcentral.
GCUCGAUGGAGAGUGAUAAAGGCACAGAUCGAGGUUCAAGCCCUGGUGGCUAUUCCGUGUUCUCUGGCUCUUCUUCACCUGGCAAAAACGAUUCUUCUUCUCAUGCUGAAAGAAAUAAAAAUUACUCAGCAAAAACAACUCCCAAGAAGUUCAACGUUUCUGAGUCUAGGGCUGCGCCUGAUCGUAUCUAUAGAAAAGAGCAUUCCGCACACACUAGUACCAGCACUG